GAGUGGUUUUGGACCCGUGUCUGUCGGUAGAUCCCCCGUUUUUGUGCGGCCGACUACCGGCGCCGUGUCCAGUCGUUCCUGUGGCUUUGUGUUACCGUUGCAUUUCAAGUGCUUGCGUGCUGGUACCCGAACUAAGGGAAUUGGUGCUAAGUACAUGUUGCCUCGCGGUGGACGCCUCCGGGUGUGCUGCUGCGGCCAAAUGGCGUUUGCGGCGUUGCCUCGUUACGCUGCCAUGUUUACGUGGCUGUUGUUAUCAAGGCAACCUCGCUCCCGCUGUUGGUCUCGGAUGUUGCCCACGAUGAAGUCUCAUGGCCCUUUUUGGUUGCCUAGACCCGACCCUAAGAGGCUCUCCGAAUUGAGAACAACCGGAACAGGUGUUGCCUCUACGUAUUCCGCAGUUAGUGGUAUGAUACGCAACAUUUUGCGCCGAUCCUCAAAUAAGUAGGACGAGCUUGGCCCGCUCAAUUGUGACAACCGGCGCGGGGACUGCUUCUGGCUUGACACGCAAGUGGACGGACGGACGACUCCCGACGCUGGACGUCAACAAGGACGUGCUACCUGGUUGAUCCUGCCA
Molecule: unclassified non-coding RNA, 574 nt
Filed under: Puccinellia perlaxa
Lineage: Eukaryota; Viridiplantae; Streptophyta; Magnoliopsida; Poales; Poaceae
Description: partial external transcribed spacer
Source: RNAcentral